Molecule: long non-coding RNA, 250 nt
Filed under: Homo sapiens (human)
Lineage: Eukaryota; Metazoa; Chordata; Mammalia; Primates; Hominidae
Description: non-protein coding lnc-PDHA2-5:1
Source: RNAcentral
AUGCUGUGGAAUCUGCUGGCUCUUCAUCAGAUUGGGCAGAGGACCAUAAGCACUGCUUCCCACAGGCAUUUUAAAAAUAAAGUUCCAGAGAAACAAAAACUGUUCCAGGAGGAUGAUGGAAUUCCACUGUAUCUAAAGGGUGGGAUAGCUGAUGCCCUCCUUCAUAGAGCCACCAUGAUUCUUACAGUUGGUGGAACAGCAUAUGCCAUAUAUCAGCUGGCUGUGGCUUCAUUUCCCAAUAAAGGAGUGA